UUGGGCAAUGGACGCAAGUCUGACCCAGCCAUCCCGCGUGCAGGACGAAUGCCCUACUGGGUUGUAAACUGCUUUUGUUUGGGAAGAAAUGUAUUCUUUUAAGAGUAUUUGACGGUACCAGACGAAUAAGCACCGGCUAACUCCGUGCCAGCAGCCGCGGUAAUACGGAGGGUGCAAGCGUUAUCCGGAAUCACUGGGUUUAAAGGGUGCGUAGGCGGCCAUAUAAGUCAGAGGUGAAAGUUUCCGGCUCAACCGGGAGAUUGCCUUUGAUACUGUUUGGCUUGAAUCAGAUUGAGGUUGGCGGAAUGUGACAUGUAGCGGUGAAAUGCAUAGAUAUGUCAUAGAACAUCGAUUGCGAAGGCAGCUGGCUGGAUCUGUAUUGACGCUGAGGCACGAAAGCGUGG
RNAcentral lists this ribosomal RNA (404 nucleotides) under Bacteroidetes bacterium SCGC AAA023-B19. RNAcentral describes it as "bacterial SSU rRNA". It matches the Rfam family "Bacterial small subunit ribosomal RNA", at positions 364 to 764 of the family's 1533-position model. Lineage: Bacteria; Pseudomonadati; Bacteroidota. The record is from RNAcentral.